GAUGAACGCUGGCGACGUGCCUAAUACAUGCAAGUCGAGCGAACGGACGAGAAGCUUGCUUCUCUGAUGUUAGCGGCGGACGGGUGAGUAACACGUGGAUAACCUACCUAUAAGACUGGGAUAACUUCGGGAAACCGGAGCUAAUACCGGAUAAUAUUUUGAACCGCAUGGUUCAAAAGUGAAAGACGGCCUUGCUGUCACUUAUAGAUGGAUCCGCGCUGCAUUAGCUAGUUGGUAAGGUAACGGCUUACCAAGGCAACGAUGCAUAGCCGACCUGAGAGGGUGAUCGGCCACACUGGAACUGAGACACGGUCCAGACUCCUACGGGAGGCAGCAGUAGGGAAUCUUCCGCAAUGGGCGAAAGCCUGACGGAGCAACGCCGCGUGAGUGAUGAAGGUCUUCGGAUCGUAAAACUCUGUUAUUAGGGAAGAACAUAUGUGUAAGUAACUGUGCACAUCUUGACGGUACCUAAUCAGAAAGCCACGGCUAACUACGUG
This 497-nucleotide ribosomal RNA is filed under the name uncultured bacterium. RNAcentral describes it as "partial 16S ribosomal RNA". It matches the Rfam family "Bacterial small subunit ribosomal RNA", at positions 28 to 507 of the family's 1533-position model. The record is from RNAcentral.